GACGAACGCUGGCGGCGUGCUUAACACAUGCAAGUCGAACGGAAAGGCCUCUUUCGGGGGGUACUCGAGUGGCGAACGGGUGAGUAACACGUGAGUAACCUGCCCUUGACUUUGGGAUAACUUCAGGAAACUGGGGCUAAUACCGGAUAGGAGCUCCUGCUGCAUGGUGGGGGUUGGAAAGUUUCGGCGGUUGGGGAUGGACUCGCGGCUUAUCAGCUUGUUGGUGGGGUAGUGGCUUACCAAGGCUUUGACGGGUAGCCGGCCUGAGAGGGUGACCGGCCACAUUGGGACUGAGAUACGGCCCAGACUCCGACGGGAGGCAGCAGUGGGGAAUAUUGCACAAUGGGUGGAAGCCGGAUGCAGCAACGCCGUGUGCGGGAGGACGGCCUUCGGGUUGGAAACCGCUUUCGCUCAUGACGAAGCUUUGUGUGACGGUAGUGGGUAAAGAAGCACCGGCUAACUACGUG
This 467-nucleotide ribosomal RNA is filed under the name uncultured bacterium. Its description in RNAcentral is "partial 16S ribosomal RNA". It matches the Rfam family "Bacterial small subunit ribosomal RNA", at positions 28 to 507 of the family's 1533-position model. The record is from RNAcentral.